RNAcentral lists this ribosomal RNA (465 nucleotides) under uncultured bacterium. RNAcentral's name for it is "partial 16S ribosomal RNA". It matches the Rfam family "Bacterial small subunit ribosomal RNA", at positions 338 to 795 of the family's 1533-position model. The record is from RNAcentral.
CCUACGGGGUGCAGCAGUAGGGAAUCUUCCACAAUGGACGAAAGUCUGAUGGAGCAACGCCGCGUGAGUGAUGAAGGGUUUCGGCUCGUAAAGCUCUGUUGGUAGUGAAGAACGAUCGAGGUAGUAACUGGCCUCUAUUUGACGGUAAUUACUUAGAAAGUCACGGCUAACUACGUGCCAGCAGCCGCGGUAAUACGUAGGUGACAAGCGUUGUCCGGAUUUAUUGGGCGUAAAGCGAGUGCAGGCGGUUUAAUAAGUCUGAUGUGAAAGCCUUCGGCUCAACCGUAGAAUGGCAUCAGAAACUGUUGAACUUGAGUGCAGAAGAGGAGAGUGGAACUCCAUGUGUAGCGGUGGAAUGCGUAGAGAUAUGGAAGAACACCAGUGGCGAAGGCGACUCUCUGGUCUGCAACUGACGCUGAGGCGCGAAAGCAUGGGUAGCGAACAGGAUUAGAUACCCCUGUAGUC